UACGGGGGGGGCAAGCGUUGUUCGGAAUUACUGGGCGUAAAGGGCUCGUAGGUGGCCAACUAAGUCAGACGUGAAAUCCCUCGGCUUAACCGGGGAACUGCGUCUGAUACUGGAUGGCUUGAGUUCGGGAGAGGGAUGCGGAAUUCCAGGUGUAGCGGUGGAAUGCGUAGAUAUCUGGAGGAACACCGGUGGCGAAGGCGGCAUCCUGGACCGACACUGACGCUGAGGAGCGAAAGCCAGGGGAGCAAACGGG
This 253-nucleotide ribosomal RNA is filed under the name uncultured bacterium. Its description in RNAcentral is "partial 16S ribosomal RNA". It matches the Rfam family "Bacterial small subunit ribosomal RNA", at positions 524 to 776 of the family's 1533-position model. The record is from RNAcentral.